AAACGCUGGGUUGUUUUUUCAACCCAAAUGCUGGGUUGAGACCGCUAGGUAGGACAUUUGGUUGUUUUAACCCAAGUUUGGGUUGAAAAUUGGACUUGAUCAUAACCCAGCUGCGCUGGGUUGUGAACGCGGACGUGAAGGAGAGCACGCACGUCACGUUAAAAUCGUACGUCUCCAGUGCGAGAAGCCGCUAUUUUCACAGCGUGAAAGAAGCGAGAAGCGAGUGAAAGACAUUACGACUUGUUGAGCUCGUGUCUUCAUUGUCCCCGCACUGAGAGUUAAAGACACCUGCUCUUGUGAAGAGUCACGGACUGUGUGAGGAGGAGGCGGUGUUCUCCGCUUCUUCUGAGGAGAGGGACAGACGGGUUUAAGGCAAGUGAACUUCAGAAUUAUAAGUUAUCUUUUUUUUUUACUAAGACUUAAAUAAUGUUUGUUUUUGUAGAUGUUGAAAGCCAGACACAUAGGAGAGCAUCGUUCUUUUGAGAUUUAUAACUCAAGCUAACUUUGGAGUUAAGGACACAGAAGCCUGCUUGUGUGAGGAGGAGGCGGUGUUCUCGGCUUCUGAAGAGAGGGAAAGAUAAUUUAAGGCAAGUGAACUUCAUAAUUUCAUAAUAUCAGUUAUCAGUUGUUUUCUUUUACUAAGAGUAAAAUAAUGUUUGUUUUUUGU
Long non-coding RNA from Cyprinus carpio (common carp), 667 nucleotides. RefSeq lists it as uncharacterized. The record is from RefSeq and is a predicted model, not a curated record. The transcript is spliced from 3 exons. Lineage: Eukaryota; Metazoa; Chordata; Actinopteri; Cypriniformes; Cyprinidae.